GAUGAACGCUGGCGGCGUGCCUAAUACAUGCAAGUAGAACGCUGAAGGAAGGAGCUUGCUCUUUCCGGAUGAGUUGCGAACGGGUGAGUAACGCGUAGGUAACCUGCCUGGUAGCGGGGGAUAACUAUUGGAAACGAUAGCUAAUACCGCAUAACAGUAGAUGUUGCAUGAUAUCUACUUAAAAGGUGCAAUUGCACCACUACCAGAUGGACCUGCGUUGUAUUAGCUAGUUGGUGAGGUAACGGCUCACCAGGGCGACGAUACAUAGCCGACCUGAGAGGGUGAUCGGCCACACUGGGACUGAGACACGGCCCAGACUCCUACGGGAGGCAGCAGUAGGGAAUCUUCGGCAAUGGACGGAAGUCUGACCGAGCAACGCCGCGUGAGUGAAGAAGGGUUUCGGAUCGUAAAGCUCUGUUGUAGGAGAAGAACGAGUGUGAGAGUGGAAAGUUCACACUGUGACGGUAGCUGACCAGAAAGGGACGGCUAACUACGUG
Molecule: ribosomal RNA, 497 nt
Filed under: uncultured bacterium
Lineage: Bacteria
Description: partial 16S ribosomal RNA
Rfam family: Bacterial small subunit ribosomal RNA
Source: RNAcentral